UAAUACGUAGGGACCAAGCGUUGUUCGGAUUUACUGGGCGUAAAGGGCGCGUAGGCGGCAUGACAAGUCACUUGUGAAAUCUCCGGGCUUAACUCGGAACGGCCAAGUGAUACUGUCACGCUAGAGUGCAGAAAGGGCAAUCGGAAUUCUUGGUGUAGCGGUGAAAUGCGUAGAUAUCAAGAGGAACACCUGAGGCGAAGGCGGGUUGCUAGGCUGACACUGACGCUGAGUGCGCGAAAGCCAGGGGAGCAAACGGGAUUAGAUACCCCGGUAGUCCUGGCCCUAAACGAUGAAUGCUUGGUGUGGCGGGUAUCGAUCCCUGCCGUGCCGAAGCUAACGCAUUAAGCAUUCCGCCUGGGGAGUACGGUCGCAAGGCUG
RNAcentral lists this ribosomal RNA (378 nucleotides) under uncultured bacterium. Its description in RNAcentral is "bacterial SSU rRNA". It matches the Rfam family "Bacterial small subunit ribosomal RNA", at positions 521 to 896 of the family's 1533-position model. The record is from RNAcentral.